Molecule: non-coding RNA, 783 nt
Filed under: Bombyx mori (domestic silkworm)
Lineage: Eukaryota; Metazoa; Arthropoda; Insecta; Lepidoptera; Bombycidae
Source: RNAcentral
AAUAAAAUUAUUUAUGGUUUAAAAAUUUAUUAUAAAUUUAUUUUACAUAUAAAUUUUAGUGUUAAUUUUUAAUUUAUUUAAAUAAUAAUUAAUAUUUAUUUGUAGUAAUUAGAAUUAAAAAUUUAAGUAAUUAAGAUUUAGUAAUAUUUAAAUUAAUAACAAAUUUUGUGCCAGCAGUUGCGGUUAUACAAAAAUUAAAUUAAAUUUUUUUAGGGAUUAAUUAAUAAUAGAUUAUAUAAUAAAAUUAAAAUUUAAAUUAUUAAGUGAAAUUUUAAUUUAUGAAAAUUUUAUAUUGAAUUAUGAAUUAAAAAAUUUUAUUAAAAACUAGGAUUAGAUACCCUAUUAUUAAAAAUUUAAAUUAAUAAUACUAAAAUAGUAUAUAAUUAUUUAUAAAAACUUAAAUAAUUUGGCGGUAUUUUAGUUUAUUUAGAGGAAUCUGUUUAUUAAUUGAUAUUCCACGAAUAAAUUUACUUAAUUUAUUUAAUUUUGUAUAUCGUUGUUAAAAAAAUAUUUUAAAAUAAUAAUAAUAUUUUAAUUUUUAUAUUAAAAGUUAAAUCAGAUCAAGAUGUAGAUUAUAAUUAAGAAUAUAAUGGAUUACAAUAAAUUUAUUUAAUUGGAUGUUAUUUUUAAAAAUUAAUUGAAAUUGGAUUUAAAUGUAAUUUUAUUUAAUUUAUUAAAAUGAUUUUAAUUUAAAAUAUGUACAUAUUGCCCGUCGCUUUCAUUAAUAAAUUGAAAUAAGUCGUAACAAAGUAGAGGUACUGGAAAGUGUUUCUAGAAAGAGUA